AUAUAUAAGGGAACUUAUAAAUUAUUAUUGUUAAUAUGUCGUUAACGUUCGUUUUUGAACGCACAAGGGUGUUCUUAGUAGACAAAUACAAGCAUUUACAAGGUUUUCGGUUAUCGUCUUUUAAAUAGGGGUUUCAGAGAUUAUAGUAUUGUAAGUUUUUGUCCACCUGGACAAGUAUUUUGGUUUCAGUUAAAAAAUGGAAACUAUGUACAUGUAAAAGUGGUGGG
This is a non-coding RNA of Cinara cedri, 227 nucleotides long. The record is from the annotation of a GenBank genome assembly. NCBI's taxonomy places the organism in Eukaryota, Metazoa, Arthropoda, Insecta, Hemiptera, Aphididae.